RNAcentral lists this long non-coding RNA (3796 nucleotides) under Fragaria vesca (wild strawberry). RNAcentral's name for it is "long non-coding RNA (FVES_LNC000824)". The record is from RNAcentral. Lineage: Eukaryota; Viridiplantae; Streptophyta; Magnoliopsida; Rosales; Rosaceae.
UAGUUGGUAUUUAUCUGCAAACUCGGGUACUAUGUGCUUUGAAUUUCUUGGUAGUUUGAAGAGCUACAUUAGAUGUCAUUCCUAAAAUUGAUGUUAUUUCUUGCCAUAAGUUUUUCUUUUUUCUAAAUUCAUGCAUAUACAUAUACAUCUACAUAUAUAUGUAUUAUUUAUAUUGGCAACUUGUUUGGAUUCCCUUUGUCUUAUGAUGGUGCAUUCACAUUUGGUUGUUUUAGUUACAUAUUCUUUUUCUUAUUUCAUCUUUUAUAAUGUGCAUUGAACGUGUAUCCAUUAAGUGGAUUUCUUAUGAUGUGUUUUUUUUCUUCCCAAACUUAGAAAAUCUUGAAUGUCUUAGUCUAGCAGAGUAUUCUGCUCCUUUGUGCUUUCACUGCUUUGAAUAAUGAAAGCUGUAGUUAUCAUUUCCACUUGAGCUACAGUGCCCCUUUAUUUUGUUGAUGGACAACAUUAUGUUGAAGUCCCCUUUUGGAAUCAAGUGUUAUGUGGUUAUGAAGGAUCAGACAAGUGCAUAGCCUUGAAGACCUCUCCAUGUGAUCCAGGAGUUGUGUUUUCCGCCAAUGUUGUUGCACAGUGUAUUUGCAAGAGUUCUAGUCUAACGUUUUAACACUGGAAGGAACAGGCUGCAUUGAAUAUCGAAUCAUUGGUUUAAUAGUUUCAGUUGAGGAACUCAUUGGCAUGGUAAUAUCACUGCCAGAAACUCAUUUGGAUCUUAUCUGGAUGAAGCUCUAAAUGUAUAUGUAGAAACUGAAGGUGUUUUGCAUUGUCAUUCAAAUAGAUAUUUUGUGUAUCUGCAAUUAGUUUUUAUUGAUGCAGAUAGUGGUUAACUUGACCUUAAGAUUCUGACAGUGUUUAGGAUUAGCAGUUUGAACUAUCAUAAGUUAUUGCUCAUUGAAAAUUUAGCCUGUGGGGGGAGGUGUUGUAUAUCGGUCCUAGGUUAUUCAGUCAUAUUGGGUUCCUCAAUUCCAGUGAUAUAAACAUAGAAUUGUUGGUUAUUCAGUCAUAUUGGGUACCUCAAUGCCAGUGAUAUAAACAUAGAAUUGUUGGUUGUUCAGUGAGCAAAUAUUAUCGGGAUAGCAGCUUGUUCUACCAUCAAAUAUGCUUAUUACUCUUGUACCAUAUGACUGAUAUUCUCAUUGGGACUAUUGUAGGGUUAGAUUGUAUUGGACCAUUGGUGACACCAACAUGGAAUCCUUUAUGUUGGUGUUCCCUCUGCAUAACUCUGGUAUGGUUCUAAAUCCCAUUUUCUGGUGUUUAGUAAUGAUAUUUCGGAGAGAAGCUUCUGUUGAUAGUAUGGAGGCUAAUAACUAUAGAAACUUGAGUCAUUUUGUUAUAAUUACGUACACAGAUUCUGUUUUGGUUUAAUGAGACUGUUACUGUAGUUCUCCAUUAUUUGAUUCUAGUGCAAUGCUUCACUUAUGUUGAAGCUUGUAUCAAUUAUUUGGAUCUUCUUGAUUCUACAGUUUGUGUUUUCUACCCUAAAACCCUAUGCACUUCGAACAUACUCCAUUGCCAUGGCUGUUACCUUCUAUAUGCUUAUUUGCUUUCAUAAAAGGUUCUGUAGUAUUAUUACUCUGCCCCCUUAUUCUUCAAUAUAGUGUGGGCUUCUUUUGGAGAAACUCAAUUAGUAGAGCCACCAGUAUGGUAUGUAGGUAUCUACAGCAUCAGUACUUCUGUAUGCUUGUUUGCUUUUGUGAAAUCUUGUAUAGUAUUGUGUUUUUCUGUACCCCAUUCGCUUCAAAUAGGGAGAGGGUGCUUCUGCUGGAGUAACUCAAUUAAAACAACCAUCAGUACGGUAUGUAGGCGUUUACACCUCUUCCUAAUACAAUGUGGAACCUGUUAUUCACUGUAUGGAUAUAUAUAUAUUUUAUUCCUUUCCUUUUUAUGUGAUAUAUUCAUUUUUAGAGAUUUCCUGUGUUAGUUAUUUUCAAUGUCUGCUCCUAUACAUCCUUUGCAUUUUAUAUUCCACCAUAUCCAGCAUCAUGGAAAGUUCGCCAUGGUUAUUUGUGAGAUUAAUUUUCUUGCAGAACCGUGCUAGAAACCCAGCAAUGGGUGGAGGAUAUUCACAGCAAGGUUAUCAAACACGUCCUCCCACUGGCUGGGCUCCUAGUGGUCCUCCAAUGCAACAACCUGGUUAUGGAUAUGGACAGUCUGGAGCAUAUUCUGGUGCAACACCUCAAUAUAAUGCAUCUCAGCCUUCUUAUCCUGGCUAUCCUCCUCAACCUGCAUCUGGUGGAUAUCCCACCAAUUGGGAUCAGUCAGCUGCUGCACCAACUCAGCAGACCUCUCAGGGAGGUAGUUAUGAUUACUAUUCCCAACAACCCUCACACCAGCAGCAAAACCCUGGUGGUUCUGCUGCGCCAGCGGAUAAUGCUAGCUACAAUUAUGGCCAGCCGCCUAUUUCAGGCUAUAAUCAGCAAGGACAAGGUUAUUCUCAAGAUGGCUAUGGUGGAUAUCAGGCACCACCUCAAUCUGGGUAUGGCCAGCCACCAGCAUAUGAUCAACAUGGUUAUCCUGCAGCCAACUAUGGUAAUGUGAGCAACCCAGCUCCAGAUACUUCCUCUUAUGGAUCUCAGGGGGAAUCAGCCCAAGCACCUCCUGUGCAGCCUGCUCCAGGGGGCCAGCAAGCAUACACUGCCAAUCAACAGCCUAGCCCAAACCCUGCAAGUUACCCGCCCCAAGUGCCUUCUCAGCCAGGUUAUGGAAUGCCCCCAACUUCUCAAACUGGUUAUGGGACUCAACCACCUGCUCAAUCUGCAUAUGGGCCUGGAUAUGGAGCACCACCUCAAGCACAAAAGCCUCCUGCUCAGUCACCCACCACUCCCGGUAGCUAUGGUCAACCACCAGCUGUGCAUCCAGGUUAUCCCCAUUCUCAGCCUCCACCUUCCGGAUAUGCUCAGCCUGAUUCUGGUGCACGUGUCCCACCAUCCAGUUAUGGUUCUACAGCAGCUCAGGCAGGCUAUGGUGGCCCCCCAGCGUAUGGUGCACCGCCGUCUGGUCAGCCAGGUUAUGGGCAGGCACCACCCUACAAUACAUCUUAUGGGGCUGCAGGAUACACACAGCCUCCUGCAUAUUCUGCUGAAGGAGCGAAUGGAAACACUCGUGGUGGGGCAUAUGAUGCUGCUGGUGCUGGUGCUCCUCCUGCUUCACAGACUGCUCAGCCAAGUGGAGUUGCCAAGACUUCCCCACAGAGUUAAAAGUGGGUUUUAAUAUUUGGUUGUGUUGUAUUUCUGUAGCAAGGCUAGUUAGGUUAGUGUUUUUAUGGAACUCUGUAUUUGGAUUUGUACUGUUUCAGUUAUUUGUUAUUGCUAGAUCUUAAAUUUCUUGUUUCCCAUGCUUUUUAUUUCCUCCUGAAUCCUAUCUUUGUUCUAUUUGAAUAAUUUGGUUUAUGGUGGACAUCGACAUGGUUACGUGUUGCUAGUUGUUUUUGGUGUUUCUCGAAUGAAUAUGUGUUCGAUGAGAAUGUUUCCUUUGCUAUCAAAAUGCAUCUCUCUUCAUUGUUCUUGCAUGUACAGUCACAAAUCGUCUUAUUGAGCAGUCUCCUUUGAAUCUUAUAUAAACGUUCUAGAGUAUCUGCAGAACACAGGCAGUGUUCAUUUCCUAGUCAAUUUCUCUUCCAUAAUCCUUUCGUUCUCUGUAACAAUGCUCUUCCUGCCUUCUCUUUCAAUCAAAACCUCUCUCAUUCCUUCAUUCCUUCCGGCCGAAUGUGCUACUUUUGCCUUUCGGGGCUGAACUGCAUUAGUCGCUUCCACAAAUCCUGGGUACUUCUGAAUAGGCCUCGGUG